GAAGAUGGCCUCGCGUCUGAUUAGCUAGUUGGUGAGGUAACGGCCCACCAAGGCGACGAUCAGUAGCCGGACUGAGAGGUUGGCCGGCCACAUUGGGACUGAGAUACGGCCCAGACUCCUACGGAAGGCAGCAG
This 134-nucleotide ribosomal RNA is filed under the name uncultured bacterium. RNAcentral describes it as "partial 16S ribosomal RNA". It matches the Rfam family "Bacterial small subunit ribosomal RNA", at positions 221 to 354 of the family's 1533-position model. The record is from RNAcentral.